UUAACCUAAAGCGAAGCGCUCACUAGCAGCCAAGAGCCUCAUUUGUUCAGGGUGUGUACGCAUAAAAACCGGCUUGAAACGAGCGUACGCAACAUCUCACUCAGGCUCCCAGCUUUUUUCUUCCAAAACGUGCCACCGGAAGUGUGCUGCUGAGGGAUGAGAGGACCAUUUGAGCGAAGCUGUCCAUUCACUUCCAUUCAUUUCGCGGUGUCUUUGAACCAAUAAUAAAGGUAUUUCCGAGCCGUUUUCGAUCAUGACACGGCCCGUGUUCUUUUUUACAAAGUACGGAUUUUCUGUCAUUUGAUCCAUACGAUUAUUAAGAUGUUCAUAGCUUUAGAAAAUAAAGUUUUUUAUACAACUAUGCUAACGAUGACGUAAAAAAACCGCGACCCAAAACACCGUGCUGUAAUGUUUGGAGAAGUUGCUCCUGGAAUUCAAAAGUACGGAGCAGAUUGCCGUCAAACAGGGUCAACGGAACCUCUUAUUAUGCAAAUAUAAUACUACAACUAAGAGUUGUCCUUGUUAUUUCUUGUUUUUUUUGUUCAUUUUGUGCUGAAUCUUCUAAUUGUAAUCAUGCCUACUUGUGUGGCUUUGAAAUGUUCAAAUCGGUCUGGUUCUUCAUCAAACACCAGUUUUUUCAAAUUCCCUUUUGAUGACAAAGAUAGGUUGCAUCAUUGGAUUUCCAACAUUAACAGACAGGACUGGAAACCAACUCCUCAUUCUCGUCUGUGUUCCCAUCACUUCAAACAAGACUGCUUUAUCCAAUUUAAAACACGUGUUUGUCUUACUAGUGAUGCUGUGCCAACAGUUUUUCACCGUAAUAGUCGUUUACAGGCCAUGGCAAAGUACUCCAGAAGAAAAAAAAAGGGCUUCUGUACAACAAACAUACAUUCUGACAUGCAUGUAUGUGCACUCACAGCAGUCACUCAUGACCACAGCUAUAUAGGGAGAACUGAAAUGAGCUGCGAGGACAGAACCUCAGCUGGUGACAAUACAGCUAAAGCUAGCAGCAGUCUUCCUGUUGAUCAUCAGCAGUACACUAUGAAGGAAUCCCCCAGAGCUCUGAAGAGAACUAUCUGGACGGUCCAGAACAGACUAGCUGCCUACAGGAAAAAAAUUAAGAAACACAGGGAGCAAUCAAAAAGACUGCGUAGAAAAAUAUCAUCUCUGUCUUCAGUUAUAACCACUCUCAGAGAGAAGAUGCUUGUUUCCACCAAUUGUGCAGAUAUGCUGGAGGCUACGUUUGGUGGAGUGGCUAAAGAAAUUCUCACCAGGGUUAAUGCAAGAAUAAGUCUGGCAAGAUCUUAGAUGACUUAAGUCGUUUGUAAUGACACUCCAUUUUUAUUCAGCAAAAGCUUAUCAGUUUGUCUGUGAAAGCUUUAACUGUGUCCUGCCUCAUCCUGAGACAAUCAGGUCCUGAUACAGCAACAUUACUGCUUAACCCGACUGGAUAAUGAACCAAUUUAGGUUGGGCACAGAUUUAAAGAGACCAAAAUCAGUGCUGUGCUGAGCGACAUCAUCCAUUGGAGUGAUGUAGGAAGAGAGCACCAUCUACCCAUUCAGAGAGUGCAAGGAGAGAAGGAAACAGAAGAUACAGAAAAAAACAGAAGGACUGUAUGUUCACCCAUAUUCUAUGUGUAAUUAACAGCAUCACUGUUUUUCUGAGUUAGCCGAGUGCUGAAAUGUUUGUACUUAAUGUUCACACAGCAACACUCCGAGCAGCUGUUUAAAACAGGAACUUUUAUUGAGAAGGAGGGACAGGUAAAAAAGACAGGUUUUAAUAAAUGUUUAACAAAAAGUAGUGAGGUACAACCAACAGACACAUGACACAUCCUUUCCCCACUUCAUAAAGGAGCACAACUGAAGCUUCAUGAGCUUCUUUAGUUAGUAAUAGUAGGGUUGAAGUUGAAAGGCUAACGGACAAGCUAAGGAACACAGGAGUUAGAGUGUCACUAUUCACAUCUUUGUAAACACACCUAAAAACAAAACCUUUUAAAACCACAUUUACCUCAGCACAGUGUUUAAUAAAAUUACAAAAAGGUGUUUUAAGGACGACAAUGCAGUUCCACCUUUAAUGUACACAUGUCAGUAAGGUCCAUCUAUGCUGGUUUGUAAAGUAAAUAAAGCACAUUUUGGCUGUGUUUUAGGGUUAGAUUGGUGACCGUCUAAGUCUAGUGUUGUUAGCAGUGUUAGCCUAGCAUCUCCAGUUAUAAACUAAAGCAGCACACAUCAGAUUCCAAACAUGUCUUUGCCGAUCGAAGGUAUCUGAGGUCACUGAUCGAUCGUGUUUCUUGGUUUUCUGAGUUUACAAUGAACAAUAACACUGAUCUGUGGUCAAUACUGAACAUUUAACACAGGCUUAAAAAGUGCAAAGUAUUAGUUAUAAAGGAAUAUUAUAGAGAAAAUAAAUUCUUUAUUAAAACCACUGUGUCCAAAACAGAAUCGUGAACAAACAUCUUCUAUACCUGUGAUGGUAUAGAACAGAUGGUAGAAGUUCUCAUGGAGUAUGUGUUUCAGUGUUAAAAUGACUGUUAAACUAUCACACACACACAUGAACAUCAUGGAACUGAGCACUACAUUUUAAAACACUGAUGACAUGGAAAAUUUAACUCAAGAACUUUAUUAUUACGUGAUUUUACUUGAACAUUUUUGUAUCCAAAUUACCACUCAGUUAAAACAAGACUUUAGGAACUGAUUUUGGAAAUUGCCAACAAAAGCUAUGGACCGGAGUUUGUGAAAUGUGUAAAAGGCUUAAAAACAUGAUUAGAGUGAUGCAUUGUUAGCCUCAGACAAAUUUCUAGAAGAUUGGAUAUCUAGAAAUUUUGCCAACUCUGAAUCCAGUACUGUGAAAGAUGAAAGGUUAACGAGCAAAGAGCUACAAUCAAUGAGAACACAAGGGUGAAAAGAAAGCAAUAAAUGUGUAGUUAGUUAUACACACUGGUAUUUAUUCAUUUGCUCAUCCAUACUUCAUUCAUGAUCAAUGCUCCUAAUCAUUUAAUAACUGAGAAGUUUGACAGUGAGAUCAGGAACCAGCAAUAUUUGAGUUUAAACAAUGUGAAUGAAUGAUAGCUCACUAUUUGUAAAGCAAGUAUUCUUGUUUAUUAGGGUUAAAACUGUAGUAAUGAUAUUUGUGUGUUCAUGACCUGAUUAAUAAUCAUUAAUAAACACAUUUUAACCAUCCAA
Molecule: long non-coding RNA, 3183 nt
Organism: Astyanax mexicanus (Mexican tetra)
Lineage: Eukaryota; Metazoa; Chordata; Actinopteri; Characiformes; Acestrorhamphidae
Exons: 2
Source: RefSeq, a predicted model, not a curated record